GAAAAUCGUCAGUGUGCUUAGAACUGAAUUUGUCUGUGAUGCGAGAACGCAUUGCAUUAAAAUUAGAUUGAGGAAAUCAUUAGACGAACAAAAAACUUGCAUUUUAAGUCAGGUCAUUCUGACACACAUCUUGAGAGUCAAUUAUACCGUCGAGAAAAGAUAUCCGGGCAAACUCGAUCUUAAUGCGCUGUGACUAAGCAGACCUAUACAAAAACCUUAUAAUGAGCUAUUCGGUGAAAUGAACAAACAGGACGCGUUCGAUUAUUGUGAUGGGCGAUGACGCGGCUCGAGCUCAGUCUAACAAAAUGAUUCGUUAGCAGUCCAAUUCCACGAUUGUUUCGAUAUACCACAUCGUUGUUCAAAACAUCUCGCUACCGGAACUGAUGUAAGCAGGCACUCGAUCGUGUACGCCCCAUGGCUUCUCCGACGUCAGUCUCAUUUUGUUGGAGGCAUUCAAUAUAGCGACAAGUAACAUGGGCGAUUCAAUUACCCGAUCAAUGGCUAGCGGUACAAUGACUUCGGUACCGAACUGCUUAAUUACUUCUCCGAAUUGCCUCGCGUGAUGAAGCGCUCCGUUUACCUCGUAGGAUUCAAUCCUCCUGUCUUGAUAUUUCAAGACAAGAGCGCCAUACGUCCGUUAACGCCCAUAUAGAGUCAAUA
Long non-coding RNA from Varroa destructor (honeybee mite), 660 nucleotides. RefSeq lists it as uncharacterized. The record is from RefSeq and is a predicted model, not a curated record. Lineage: Eukaryota; Metazoa; Arthropoda; Arachnida; Mesostigmata; Varroidae.